CGAAAGGGUGACGAAGCGACGCCGCGUGUGGGAAGAAGGCCUUCGGGUUGUAAACCACUGUCAGGAGUUAAGAAGUGUAGUGGUGCUAAUAGCACCCUUACUUGACUAAGGCUCCAGAGGAAGCCACGGCUAACUCUGUGCCAGCAGCCGCGGUAAUACAGAGGUGGCAAGCGUUGUUCGGAAUUAUUGGGCGUAAAGAGCACGUAGGCGGUUCUGCAAGUCGGCUGUGAAAGCCUUCCGCUCAACGGAAGAACAGCAGUUGAUACUACAGGGCUUGAGUGCGGGAGGGGAGAGUGGAACUUCUGGUGGAGCGGUGAAAUGCGUAGAUAUCAGAAGGAACGCCGGCGGCGAAAGCGACUCUCUGGCCCGUAACUGACGCUGAGUGUGCGAAAGCUAGGGGAGCAAACGGGAUUAGAUACCCCGGUAGUCCUAGCCGU
Molecule: ribosomal RNA, 437 nt
Filed under: uncultured bacterium
Lineage: Bacteria
Description: bacterial SSU rRNA
Rfam family: Bacterial small subunit ribosomal RNA
Source: RNAcentral